UACGUAGGGAGCGAGCGUUGUCCGGAUUCAUUGGGCGUAAAGCGCACGUAGGCGGUUCGUUAUGUCGGAUGUGAAAGCCCUUGGCUUAACCGAGGAAGUGCAUCCGAAACUGGCGAGCUAGAGUACGAAAGAGGAUCGCGGAAUUCCCGGUGUAGAGGUGAAAUUCGUAGAUAUCGGGAGGAACACCGGUGGCGAAGGCGGCGAUCUGGGUCGAUACUGACGCUGAGGUGCGAAAGCGUGGGGAGCAAACAGG
This 253-nucleotide ribosomal RNA is filed under the name uncultured bacterium. RNAcentral's name for it is "partial 16S ribosomal RNA". It matches the Rfam family "Bacterial small subunit ribosomal RNA", at positions 524 to 776 of the family's 1533-position model. The record is from RNAcentral.